This 460-nucleotide ribosomal RNA is filed under the name uncultured bacterium. RNAcentral's name for it is "partial 16S ribosomal RNA". It matches the Rfam family "Bacterial small subunit ribosomal RNA", at positions 338 to 795 of the family's 1533-position model. The record is from RNAcentral.
CCUACGGGGGGCUGCAGUGAGGAAUAUUGGUCAAUGGGCGUAAGCCUGAACCAGCCAAGUCGCGUGAGGGAUGAAGGUUCUAUGGAUCGUAAACCUCUUUUAUAAGGGAAUAAAGUGUGGGACGUGUCCUAUUUUGUAUGUACCUUAUGAAUAAGGAUCGGCUAACUCCGUGCCCGCAGCCGCGGUAAUACGGAGGAUCCGAGCGUUAUCCGGAUUUAUUGGGUUUAAAGGGUGCGUAGGCGGCCUUUUAAGUUAGCGGUGAAAGUCUGGGGCUCAACCCUAGAAUUGCCGUUGAAACUGGGGGGCUUGAGUAUGUUUGAGGCAGGCGGAAUGCGUGGUGUAGCGGUGAAAUGCAUAGAGAUCACGCAGAACCCCGAUUGCGAAGGCAGCCUGCCAAGCCAUGACUGACGCUGAUGCACGAAAGCGUGGGGAUCAAACAGGAUUAGAUACCCUUGUAGUC